Molecule: ribosomal RNA, 473 nt
Filed under: uncultured bacterium
Lineage: Bacteria
Description: bacterial SSU rRNA
Rfam family: Bacterial small subunit ribosomal RNA
Source: RNAcentral
ACUCCUACGGGAGGCAGCAGUAGGGAAUCUUCCACAAUGGGCGCAAGCCUGAUGGAGCAACACCGCGUGAGUGAAGAAGGGUUUCGGCUCGUAAAGCUCUGUUGUUAAAGAAGAACACGUAUGAGAGUAACUGUUCAUACGUUGACGGUAUUUAACCAGAAAGUCACGGCUAACUACGUGCCAGCAGCCGCGGUAAUACGUAGGUGGCAAGCGUUAUCCGGAUUUAUUGGGCGUAAAGAGAGUGCAGGCGGUUUUCUAAGUCUGAUGUGAAAGCCUUCGGCUUAACCGGAGAAGUGCAUCGGAAACUGGAUAACUUGAGUGCAGAAGAGGGUAGUGGAACUCCAUGUGUAGCGGUGGAAUGCGUAGAUAUAUGGAAGAACACCAGUGGCGAAGGCGGCUACCUGGUCUGCAACUGACGCUGAGACUCGAAAGCAUGGGUAGCGAACAGGAUUAGAUACCCUGGUAGGACAGCC